UACGGAGGGUGCGAGCGUUGUCCGGAAUCAUUGGGCGUAAAGGGCGCGUAGGUGGCCCGGUCAGUUCGUGGUGAAAGCGCGGGCUCAACCCUGCGUCGGCCAUGAAUACUGCCGCGGCUGGAGCACUGUAGAGGCAGGCGGAAUUCCGGGUGUAGCGGUGGAAUGCGUAGAGAUCCGGAAGAACACCGGUGGCGAAGGCGGCCUGCUGGGCAGUUGCUGACACUGAGGCGCGACAGCGUGGGAGCAAACAGG
This 252-nucleotide ribosomal RNA is filed under the name uncultured bacterium. RNAcentral describes it as "partial 16S ribosomal RNA". It matches the Rfam family "Bacterial small subunit ribosomal RNA", at positions 524 to 776 of the family's 1533-position model. The record is from RNAcentral.